This 1332-nucleotide long non-coding RNA is filed under the name Fukomys damarensis (Damara mole-rat). RNAcentral describes it as "lncRNA (ENSFDAG00000026854.1)". Lineage: Eukaryota; Metazoa; Chordata; Mammalia; Rodentia; Bathyergidae. The record is from RNAcentral.
CUUCGAGGAGGAGAGGCAGUGUGUGAUGCUUUAACUGUGACCAUCCCGGGGGUCGUACUGAUAUAUGGAUCUCACAAAGAAGGAUGACCAGGAGCUCAUGUGCUUGGCUGAAAGCCGUGAGGGCUGUGACAGAGAGGAUAUUCUGCCAGGCCAACACGGCAUUGCUAAGCCUCCAGUUCAGAGCAGAUGAGUCCACUUUGGUGACAGCUGUACUGAUGUGGUGAGACUCUUUUAUCUUUUUGGCCUCUCCUUUAGAUUGCUUAUAUUUCUUUUAUAGGCUUUUAUAUCUCUUUUAAGUUUAUCUUUUGUAAGUGGAAAGCUGUUACAUUGAGGGGGAGAAAAAGAGUUGCAUCUUGUGCGUUUCUUCCCUGCACUCUGGACACAGAGCAAAUGGGUGGAGAGCACAGAGGACCAGGGCAAGGGUGGGAGUUUUGCUCCGAGCGUGGAUGAUUGGAUCGGACUUUUGAGUUCCUGGAAGGCAAUGUGACUGUAUGUCCUGAUGUACACAGGACAGCCCCGAGUUUCCCCAGACAUUCUCCGUAGACAACAGCAGCUCUCCUUUGCACUUUCACGAGUGAGUUGUUUUGGGAGACAGGCUAUAAAGUCGCUGCAUCCAACAGUAAUCCAAAGAUAUAUGGUGCCUAUCUGGACAUUUCAUUUCCAGACCGGAGAAGUGAGUGAAUCAAAUACAGGAGUGAUGGUGAAAAGGAUUGUUUACUUCUCAUGUGCAAAAAGUCAGAAGACAUUGUGUGGCAUAUUGUGUGAAGAUACGUAUACACCCCUUAUUGGUGAGUGGACAGACACGUGGAACCCAGGGUGGGAGCCGUGAGAUCUGCUUACCUUGGAGGCUGUGUAGCUUACGGGCCGAGCUGUCCUCAGAGAUUCAUAAACAAUGGAACGAGUGAGAGUCAGGCCGGCUCUGUCGGUGCUAUUUCCCGGCAAUUAUGAACUCCGUCAGGAGUAGAGUACUCUUCUCUGCGUCGUCACACCGCAUGCCUGUGUGCGCGCACAGGAUACGCAUGAGAAUCUGACCCCGUCCAAGACUCAGCACAGAUGGCCACGAAAUCCUAUCAGAGAGGACGCCCUGAUCUGUCUGCUUGUUUGUUUGUGGUAAAGCUGCAUUCGAGCCCUGAACAGGAAGCUGGGAAAGGGGGCCGUACAUACCACUGUGUACCAUAGAAAGUGCCCCGCCAGGCGGAAGGUGAAAAUUCAGACUGAGGAAGACGGAGGAGUCUAGAAAAUGGUGACGCAGAAGGGUGCGUGAUGACAGGCACUGUCACGAAGGUACAGUGGGGAUGACAAAGAGGAGGAGAGCAAGUGGCCAAGGCCGAA